CAAGUCCUUGUAGAGAAGCUACACACACACACAAGCAGAGAAAGAUAGAGAGAGAAAGAUCAAUCAAUCUAGAGAGAGAGAGGGAGAGAGAGACUCAAAUUCUAAACCAAAAUUAAUUAAGAUGGGUGUGUUGCCAUGCAAGCGCCUUGUUCUGGUGGCUUUUUUCUUGCUUUGCUUUAUAUCCUCCAUCACAGCUACAGCAAGAAGAUUUUAUACAGAAACUACUUAUGAAGCUGAAAAGGGUGAGGAUGUUAAAUUUAAGACAAAAGAAAAGGGGUUACGGGACGACCAAGACUUGAUGACAAUGGACUACACUCCUGCAAGAAAGAAGCCUCCUAUUCAUAACUGAUUCUAUAUAUAUUUUUUAAAUUAAUUAGUCAAAAAAUUUUGGGAGGUUGGUAUAGAAUAUGUAAUUUGAUAUAUCUGUUUUAGUUAGACUUGGGGCUGUUUGGGAUGAAGGAAAAAUAAUUGUGAAAGGUUUUCCUCUUGGAAAGCUUACUGUGAGUUAAACAGUACAUGUGCAUAAAUUAGGUUUAAUUCAAUGAAAGUCAUAUAUAUAUAAGAUCCGUAAUA
This is a long non-coding RNA of Camellia sinensis, 573 nucleotides long. RefSeq lists it as uncharacterized. The record is from RefSeq and is a predicted model, not a curated record. Lineage: Eukaryota; Viridiplantae; Streptophyta; Magnoliopsida; Ericales; Theaceae.